GACGAACGCUGGCGGCGUGCUUAACACAUGCAAGUCGAACGGAAAGGCCCUGCUUUUGUGGGGUGCUCGAGUGGCGAACGGGUGAGUAACACGUGAGUAACCUGCCCUUGACUUUGGGAUAACUUCAGGAAACUGGGGCUAAUACCGGAUAGGAGCUCCUGCUGCAUGGUGGGGGUUGGAAAGUUUCGGCGGUUGGGGAUGGACUCGCGGCUUAUCAGCUUGUUGGUGGGGUAGUGGCUUACCAAGGCUUUGACGGGUAGCCGGCCUGAGAGGGUGACCGGCCACCUUGGGACUGAGAUAAGGCCCAGACUCCUACCGGAGGCAAGAGUGGGGAAUAUUGCACAAUGGGGGGGAGCCUGAUGGAGCAACGCCGCGUGCGGGAUGACGGGCUUCGGGUUGGAAACCGCUUUCGCCUGUGACGAAGCGUGAGUGACGGUAAUGGGUAAAGAAGCACCGGCUAACUACGUG
Molecule: ribosomal RNA, 468 nt
Filed under: uncultured bacterium
Lineage: Bacteria
Description: partial 16S ribosomal RNA
Rfam family: Bacterial small subunit ribosomal RNA
Source: RNAcentral